Molecule: unclassified non-coding RNA, 337 nt
Filed under: uncultured fungus
Lineage: Eukaryota; Fungi
Description: partial contains 5.8S ribosomal RNA and internal transcribed spacer 2
Rfam family: 5.8S ribosomal RNA (bases 1-133)
Source: RNAcentral
UGGUUCUGGCAUCGAUGAAGAACGCAGCGAAAUGCGAUAAGUAGUGUGAAUUGCAGAAUUCAGUGAAUCAUCGAAUCUUUGAACGCACAUUGCGCCCUUCGGUAUUCCGUGGGGCAUGCCUGUUCGAGCGUCAUUAACACCCUCAAGCCUUGCUUGGUGUUGGGCGUCUGUCCCGGGGUUGCACCCCAUCCGGACUCGCCUUAAAGGCAUUGGCAGCGGACCCUCCGGCCUCCUAAUCGCGCAGCACUGCCCGCGCCUCCUGGAGCUUGCGGGGACGGCAUCCAUGAAGCCUAAUUUUCUUGAAUUUGACCUCGGAUCAGGUAGGGAUACCCGCUGA